UGUGUACAUACAGUGUCAAUAGAACGCUGUAUAUAAACAAAGUGAGCAAAAUAGGUUUUAUGCAUUUUGUUACGGAUUUUUUUGGCAAAGGAAAUUUGUGCAUUAUGAAAAUGGAGGUUUCGGCACCCGGAUGCCCUCCCAGCUUCCCAUAAAUACAUUCCCAGCCUGCCUACCAACACGCACAUACACUCACAACGAGAAUGCUGUCGUGUCCGGAUGGGGAACCAUAUCGGAAAGCGGCUCGACGUCCACCGUUCUCCGGUAUGUCUGGAAGCCCUUUUUUAAGCCUGGCAGAAUGUGAAAAGACCGGAAAUAAAGGCUCCCUGGACGCCACCAUGUUGUGCGCCGAGGAAACUGGCAAAGACGCUUGCCAGGGUGACUCUGGCGGACCUUUGGUUGCUCCCAGAAGCGGUUCAUGGGAACUCGUUGGU
Molecule: long non-coding RNA, 431 nt
Organism: Dreissena polymorpha
Lineage: Eukaryota; Metazoa; Mollusca; Bivalvia; Myida; Dreissenidae
Exons: 4
Source: RefSeq, a predicted model, not a curated record